CAACUCCAUACACUCCUCUCCCUAGCCUAUAAAUACAUCCACCCUUCACCAUAAUUUGGGGGGCCAUCAUCCAAAGACACCACAUCAUCUACACAACUCUCCACCCUUCACCAUAACUCACCUAUAUCCAUCCACCACUACAAGAGACCAUCCAUUCACCACUCACACCUUGGUGCCGCAUAUUUGCAAGGAAUGAGGAUUGCUUGGAGUUGUGCUAGUCAUUCAAUUUGGAUUGCUGGAGCAUUCUAGGUGUAUUCUACUUUGGUUUUCAAUGUUUAAUUUCAAUUGUUUCUGUUUAAUUGCAAGUAUGAGGAACUAAACCUCUUUUGGCUAGAGGAGAAUUCGAAACCAUGAAUAUAUUUGCAAUAUGAAUUGAUUUCUUCCAAUUGUGAUUUGAUAAGUUGUGAUUGCAAUUCAAUUAUCUAUUUUAUUCAUAACGGAUUUGUGUAUGUUUAUUAAGGAUGCAUACUUAGUUUUCAUGCAUUAAUUUGAUGCUAGGAUAUAAAUAAGUUUCACCUAAUUGUUACAAGUUUAUAUUCAUGAGUAGUGAAGGUUGCUUGUCACAAUCGCGUUAUUGAAUUCUUGGCAAACGUAUCAUGCAUUCAUAGUUACAAUUGCCUCGUCAACGCUUAUGAUUUUCAUGGAACGUAAUGAUCUUUAAUUGUAUCUCUAUUAUGCAUUCAUAUAGGGGCCUUUUAGAGAAUGAUUUGGGUUGUCGCAUGCAUUCAUCCAAUUCAAUGAGUAAAGGAAAAUCUGAGGGUUAAUUUGUGCAUCACGGUUAAUCUGGGGUGUUGAGUAUCAUAGUUUAUUGAGAAACAAUUGGAGAUUGAUUUGUAUGCAAGUGUGUCAUGUGUGGGGAAAGACCUUCUAGCUAGCCCAUCAUCCAUCCAAAACAACCAAUUUCGUGCAAAUCUGUUUAGUUCUAGUUUCUGUUUUGUUUUACUUUAUUUUCUUCCAAAAUCCAAUCCCCCUUUACUUUAGUGUGUCUAAUUAGUUAGAAUCUGUUUUAGUUUGUGUUUUUAAGUGUUUUGAGUCUAUAGAGUCUAGUUAAGUGUUUUUAAGUUUCUUUUUGUAAGUCAGUUUAGUUUAGAUUAGCAAUCCAUCCUAAUCCCCGGUCCAGAAUGAUCCCUACUUAUACAUAUACUACAAUUGUCAAAAGAGGGUUUAAUUUGAGUGCUUAACUUUCAUUGCAUCAAAUUUUGGCGCCAUUGUCGGGGAUUAGCAACUUUGCUAAUCCCCCGUUGUUUCUUUUUCAUGUCUUUUGUUUUAGUUACUGACUUUGUUUUUGUUUGUGUCUUUUAGUUUUACUUGUGAUAUUUGAUUUAUUUUUGUUUCCUUGAUUUUAGGGACUAGAGAAGUAAGACAUAGAUUUUGCUACCAUUCAAGCUCAAUUGGCAAAACUUACUUCUCAAUUGUCACAAUAUGCCGAAAGAAUUCCAACAAGAUGGAUAUUGGCAGCAAGAAGAGGAGUUCUAUCACUGGCCAUAUGAACCAUCACAGCCACCACAAAAAUCUACCCAAUUCAAUUCAGGUACAUCUUUAGAUAAUGAUAUGUUUAAUAAGUUACUCACUUUUUUGAACCAGGAUGUAGAAAACCGAAACAAAGAGGUGCAAAUUCAAGCCAAGAAGACGGGCGAAUUGGAAAAGCAAUUUGGGUAGAUUAUGGAGUUCACGGUACAAAUUCAAGAGCAAAGUGAAUUCUCCGACUCAACUAUUGAAAAUUUGAAGGAAGAUUUUGAAAUCCAUGAUGCUAUCACUUUGGGAAGUGCUAUGGAGAUUGGAGGUGAACCCAAGACGUCCAAACCAAGCCAAAACAUGGAUGAAUAGCUGAUGCUCGAAGAAGAAGAGAGUAACAAGGCCACGGCAAGGAAAGAACCACCCUUGCCGCAGCCCCAUAUACCCUCUAUGCCGUCCACUACAACCAAAGUAAGCCUAAAUUCAAUUCGUCCUGACCCCGUUUCACCAAAUGUACUUAUUCCUUGCAGGAUCAUGCAAUCCAAGGAAGAAGAAGGUGAGAAAGGUAUCUUCGGAACCUUUCUAAAGAAUCAAGAGCAAGAAGUGGAUGGGGAAUGUCUACAAUUCAUCAAAGAAGAUACCCUUGAGACGAAAACUCCCAAAGAAGUUGGAUUUUAUGACACGGGAAAAGUCAUAACUCUCAAAACACCAAAUAUGGCCAAGUCCCAUAUCCCUGCAACCUUCAAAGAUGUGGUGUUCGUAAUUGAGUUUGUGUUGGAGCAAGCAAGUAAGCCAUCUUCUCCAAUUUCGAUUUUAUUAUAUACUAACUUGCUAAUUUUGAUGAUUCAUGCACCUACGCUAGAAUUUAAACCAUUGCCGGAUCACGUCAAGUAUCACCUUCCAUUCAAGGAUCAAUUCCAUGCUAUGGGCCCUAUCCAAGUUUAGAAGAAAGUUUCGUCCGGCUGGAAGACGUUAAAGCAAGCGCUUCUUGGGAGGCAACCCAUGAUUUCAAAUAAGGAAGAUUUUUGAAUUGCUCCACAAUCAGUUUAGCGUUUCUAAAAACCUUCCCUUUUAUGUUAUUUUUCCAUGAUUGUCAUUUUUAUUUGUUGCUUGUUUAAUUGUUUUUGGUGUGGGUUUUGAAACACUGAUAGUUAUGCAAGGUAUUUUUACAUUCAUAAAAAAAAAAGGAACAUUAAGCAGAUAAAUACAAGAGGGAGCCUUCACAAAGGCUGUUUAGGAGAGAUCUCAGUAGUCGGCAGAGCCUCAGCAAUCGGUGGAGCCCCAGAAGGAGGAGGCAUCGGAGGUUGAUCAUUUGGAGCUUCAUUACGCGGUACAGCCCCAGAAGACGAAGGCAAAUGUUGUUGGAACAAACCCACAAACCUCUGAUGAUCAAGUAAAAUCUGACCAUCAGAUUCCUGCAUCUGGUUAAUCUUCCUCUUCAUGUUUAUAGCAUAGUUAUAUGCGAGCCUAUGCAACUGUUUAUUCUCAUGCUUAAGCCCUCUAAUCUCCUACUUGAGACUCAUCACUUCAACCGCCAAUGAUUCAACUUGACGGGUUCGGGCAAAUAGGCGUUGGGCCAUAUUGGACACGGAACCUACGCACUGCACACUGAGAGCCAGAGAAUCCUUAAUAGCCAACUCAUCAGACCGUUUUCCAAGUAGUCUAUUAUCUUUGGGAGUGACAAGGUUCCUGGCCACCACCGCAGCUGUCAUAUCAUUUCUCAUCACCGAAUCCCCAACGGUAAAAUAACCAGUAGGGGAUAUGAAGGAUGGGCGCCAUAUGUUGUCUGGAGAAGGCGGGGCUACCUCUUCACCAAGGUUCAAGUCAAAACAACGGUCGGAGGGGCCAGACAUUUUCAGAGGUGUUAAAGAAAGAAGAGGUCGGACAAGUCAAGAUCGUAAAAGUGCAAGAAUGGAGUUUUUACAGGCAGAAAUUCAAGUGUGCUUUGAACGUCCUACGUACUUCUAUAAAAAUCAACACGCGAUGGGAUUUCAGAGAUCGAAGAGGUGAGCUCAGAAAUCGAAGAGGCCAACUCAAAAAUCAAAGAGGUGCUAGCUUUCUCAAAAGCUGGGCUUGCUUAGAAAGCACGGCCAAUCUUCUUUUCCAGAUUUGUCCGCACUUGUCACAUGCAACCUCUGCACUCGACGGGAUUUAAAAGAUCGAAGAGGCAAGCUCAGAAAUCGGAGAGGCAUCUGCUUUUCCAGACGUGUCAGCAUCUGUCACAUGCAAAGUCAGCUUUGCGGAAAUCACGGGCAAUUUGUCGAAACGCCGAUUCUAGAUAUCGGAGAAGCAUCUGCUUUUCCAGACAUGUCAGCGCCUGUCACAUGCAGACUUAGCUUUGUGAAAAUCACAGGCAGUUUAUCGAAACACCGAUUCCAGAUAUCGAAGAGGCACUUGCUUUUCCAGACGUGUCAGCAUCUGUCACAUGCAAAGUCAGCUUUGCGAAAAUCACGGGCAGUUUGUCAAAGUGCCGAUUCCAAAUAUCGGAGAAGCAUCUGCUUUUCCAGACGUGUCAGCGCCUGUCAUAUGCAGACUCAGCCUUGCGAAAAUUACGGACAAUCUGUCGAAGAUCUCUUGUGAAGUAUAAAGCACGUGAAGUUCACUAUUAAAUCAUCCAACGGUUGCUGACAAGAGUGAAAGAAUAGUACCGGUUAUUAAUUCCUAUAAAUGGCACCCUUCACCCUCCAUUUCAAGGCAGACAUACAUAACCCUUCUUCUUCUCCGAAAAUGCCUUUCCAACAAACCCUCUCGAGUCACUCAAUGUUCCUUAUUCCUAGGGGUACCUCUGCAAACAACUCAUCUAAAGCAAAAGUAUUUCAUAUCAUGAAGGUUGAAAGCAAGAGUAUCUCAUAUCAUGUUUUCUCCAUGUCCUUCUCUUUGUCAUUAUUUUGGGACAAGGAGAAAGAGAGCAAUCAGCCAGCACUUGGUAUCAAUCUUUCGAUCUGGAACCGACUGCCUGGAACCCCUUCCUGAUUACUUACCUAGCCUUGGUCUCGAGUACUCAUCUUCAUCAUUUUAUGCUUCCUCUUCGUUUACCACAUCUUCCUGGGGAACAGAUAAGGGAAGUGAAAAUGAUACCUCGAAGCAUGUGGAGACAAUUUGCCAAUUCAUCCUUAGCUAGGGACAAGGAUAAAGAAAGCAAGAGGUGGGCACUUGGAAAGAUUGAAGAAAGAAACAGACCAACACCUAUACCUCGUGUCUGCCCGCCGUGCAGAAGAAACAAACAGAGAAGAAUGCAGAUUGCACAAUCAAAUCAACCCAGCAGAAUGUGUCUAAUUUGAAACCAAGGAACUCUCAUAUUCCUUGCUCAGAAUUCCAAACCAGUUCGAGAUCAAAGUUGUGGAAAGAUAACAAGAUCAUCUAUCUCCAAAACCAGAUUUGCGUUCUUAAACUAUACUAUGUCUAAUUUUUACUUUGCCAUACUUGUCAUGUUUAUUCGUUGUUUGUUUGUGUGAGUUUAUGCUUGAAACAUUGAGGACAAUGUUUGAUUUAAGUGUGGGGGGGUAACCAUUGUUUUGCAUGAAAUUCUUUGCAUGAAAGUCGUAGGAGUUUAUCACCCAUUACUUCUUGUGUUGUUCCUUGUUGUUUUAAAUGUUUUUAAGCUGUUUUGGAGUGUUUCAGUGUGUUUUGACAUAAAAAUUUGAAAAAUUGUUUUGAAAAACCCAAAAAGAGUUGUUUUUGUGUGUUUAUUUGUGUCUUAGGGUACCUUCCAACACAAUGAUGAGGAUUUGGUUUUUAAUUGCAUGACUGUUAAAGAGAGUUAUAAACAUGGAUGAAAAUUUGAUUUACUCUUUGAUGUAUGCUUGGUUGUGGUUAUAAUUUAUGAAUUCACAUGCAAUCAUAAAGGAAAAAUCAGUUUUUGUAACAUGCUUGAAGAAGAGGAACUCAAAUGUAACGCUACAUCCUUGUGAGACUUGAGCCUAAACGUUUAUUUGGAGAGUUAAUAAUUUGUGCAUCAUUGUUUUCUAAAGUCGUUGCAUGAUCUCAUUAUUCUUUGCUUGGUUGCUACGUAGAAGGCGUUUCAUUAGUUAGUUCCAAAUGUUAGAACUCAUGCCUAUUUCAUUCAAAGCAUGUUAUUGAUUUGCAUAAUACAUAUUCAAGAUGAAGUUCUGUAGUGACCACCACAGCCAAAUUGACGUGCCCUAUUUCAUUAUGUGUUUAAGUUUAACCCCAUUGAGCCUUGUGUAACUUAUGUUCUUUGUUAACCCAUACUAUCCUCACCUAGCCUAGAUUAGGACCAUUCAUACCCUUGUUCUUGAAGCAUAGUAAAACAUAAUUUAGAAGGAAUUCCUUUAGUUGAACUUUUGUAGAAAAACAAGUGUGGGGGAAGUGAUUCUUGUGUGUGUGUGUGUGUGUGUGUGUGUGAAAGUCCUUAAUAAGGCACGAGUAGAAAAGAAAAAGAAAAAAAAAAAAAAGAGAAACAUUCGUGGAAAAUAGAAUGAAAAGAAGAAAAGUUGUGCAAAAGAGCUCUAAAGUGUUGUUUGUUGAAGAAAGGGUCCAAAACAUGGAAUUCGGCCCUAAGUGUUGCUUGAAUCUUCCCAUUGUGUUUAAAAGUUAAUUUCUACAUUAUUAAGUGAAUUUCAAGCGUCUAUUUCAUUACUUUGCUUGCUAUUACUUUCAGAACGUUUGUUAUCCCUAUCCUUUCUUUGUUAGCCAUUACCCUUAAACCCUGUUACAACCUUUAACUUCAUCUUGAGUGUCAUGCGUUUCAAUAUGUGGAGUUUGGAAUUGGUAUGAGCAUAUGGUGUCACUGGUUCUUGCAUCUAAGUAGUAGCAUUCCAUUCAUGAGAUCAUAUUUAAACAUGCUUAAUAACUCCAGAAAAUCGCUUUCUUUGUUAUACAUAUAUGUGAGUGUUCGUUUUCAUGUUUACAUCAAUCUUCUCACAUAUAACUAGUGUAGGGUGUGUAGUCAGAAAAUGUGUGAAAAUAGAGAGUAUCUUGUAAGGAAUUGAGCAAAUUCUCUAAGGCAUGUUACUACAUUCAAAACAUCGUUUUAAUUGGUUAAAUGUGAACUAGUAAGUGGUGACUGUGAUUAAGUAUGUGCUCAAGUGUGAAGAUCACUAAAUCUGUGGGAAUAAUGAUCUUCGGCAUGUCAUGUUUCAUUGAAAAUCCAUGAGGCAAAUGUUGGAAGGUUAGGUUGUGUUUUGUUUGUUUUGUUUGUUUUGUUUCGUUUUGUUUCUUUUGUUUUGCUCGAGGACUAGUAAAAGCUAAGUGUGUGGGAAUUUGAUAGGAGCAUAUUUAUGCGACUUAGUUAGCUUGUUCUUGUGCAUUUGUGUUGUUAUUUCUUAGUUAAUUAUGUAUUUUAAGCUAUUUUCGUGUGUUUGUAGGUCAUAAUAACAAAGUUGGCAAGAAAGUGCAUUUUGGAGCAUUUUAGAGCAUUUUUGAGCCAAGAUUGGAUAGUGCAAGCAUGGAGACAUGAGGAUGGACGUUUUUGAAGAUUUGAAGGCUAGAAAUCAACAUGUGUGUGUGCAAGUGUGUUGACCUACAACUCCAAACAUCCAUCCACUACACCCAUUACAUCCACUCAUUACCAAACACUCAUCCACUACACCCAUUACAUCCACUCAUUACCAAACACUCAUCCACUGCACCCAUUACAUCCACUCAUUACCACAACACUCACCCACUACACCUAUUACAUACACUCAUUACCACAACACUCACCCACUACACCCAUUACAUCCACUCAUUACAACUCCAUACACUCCUCUCCCUAGCCUAUAAAUACAUCCACCCUUCAUCAUAAUUUGGGGGGGCCAUCAUCCAAAGACACCACAUCAUAUACACAACUCUCCACCCUUCACCAUAACUCACCUAUAUCCAUCCACCACUACAAGAGACCAUCCAUUCACCACUCACAACUUGGUGCCGCAUAUUUGCAAGGAAUGAGGAUUGCUUGGAGUUGUGCUAGUCAUUCAAUUUGGAUUGCUGGAGCAUUCUAGGUGUAUUCUACUUUGGUUUUCAAUGUUUAAUUUCAAUUGUUUCUAUUUAAUUGCAAGUAUGAGGAACUAAACCUCUUUUGGCUAGAGGAGAAUUCGAAACCAUGAAUAUAUUUGCAAUAUGAAUUGAUUUCUUCCAAUUGUGAUUUGAUAAGUUGUGAUUGCAAUUCAAUUAUCUAUUUUAUUCAUAACAGAUUUGUGUAUGUUUAUUAAGGAUGCAUACUUAGUUUUCAUGCAUUAAUUUGAUGCUAGGAUAUAAAUAAGUUUCACCUAAUCGUUACAAGUUUAUAUUCAUGAGUAGUGAAGGUUGCUUGUCACAAUCGCGUUAAUUGAAUUCUUGGUGAACGUAUCAUGCAUUCAUAGUUACAAUUGCCUCGUCAACGCUUAUGAUUUUCAUG
This 7792-nucleotide long non-coding RNA is filed under the name Malus domestica (apple). RNAcentral describes it as "long non-coding RNA (MDOM_LNC015591)". The record is from RNAcentral. Lineage: Eukaryota; Viridiplantae; Streptophyta; Magnoliopsida; Rosales; Rosaceae.